AGUGAACGCUGGCGGUAGGCCUAACACAUGCAAGUCGAACGGCAGCACAGUAAGAGCUUGCUCUUACGGGUGGCGAGUGGCGGACGGGUGAGGAAUACAUCGGAAUCUACUUUUUCGUGGGGGAUAACGUAGGGAAACUUACGCUAAUACCGCAUACGACCUACGGGUGAAAGCAGGGGAUCUUCGGACCUUGCGCGAUUGACUGAGCCGAUGUCGGAUUAGCUAGUUGGCGGGGUAAAGGCCCACCAAGGCGACGAUCCGUAGCUGGUCUGAGAGGAUGAUCAGCCACACUGGGACUGAGACACGGUCCAGACUCCUACGGGAGGCAGCAGUGGGGAAUAUUGGACAAUGGGCGCAAGCCUGAUCCAGCCAUACCGCGUGGGUGAAGAAGGCCUUCGGGUUGUAAAGCCCUUUUGUUGGGAAAGAAAAGCAGCAGGUUAAUACCCCGCUGUUCUGACGGUACCCAAAGAAUAAGCACCGGCUAACUUCGUG
RNAcentral lists this ribosomal RNA (492 nucleotides) under uncultured bacterium. RNAcentral describes it as "partial 16S ribosomal RNA". It matches the Rfam family "Bacterial small subunit ribosomal RNA", at positions 29 to 507 of the family's 1533-position model. The record is from RNAcentral.